Molecule: ribosomal RNA, 261 nt
Filed under: uncultured bacterium
Lineage: Bacteria
Description: partial 16S ribosomal RNA
Rfam family: Bacterial small subunit ribosomal RNA
Source: RNAcentral
UACGUAGGGGGCAAGCGUUGUCCGGAAUCAUUGGGCGUAAAGCGCGUGUAGGCGGUUCAGUAAGUCUGCUGUGAAAAGUCCAGGGCUCAACCCCUGGGAAUGCCGGUGGAAUACUGCUGAACUAGAGUGCGGAAGAGGCGAGUGGAAUUCCCGGUGUAAGCGGUGAAAUGCGCAGAUAUCGGGAGGAACACCAAUUGCGAAGGCAGCUCGCUGGGGACGUUACUGACGCUGAGACGCGAAAAGCGUGGGGGAGCAAACAGG